CAGGCUUAACACAUGCAAGUCGAGGGGCAGCAUGGUCUUAGCUUGCUAAGGCCGAUGGCGACCGGCGCACGGGUGAGUAACACGUAUCCAACCUGCCGUCUACUCUUGGACAGCCUUCUGAAAGGAAGAUUAAUACAAGAUGGCAUCAUGAGUCCGCAUGUUCACAUGAUUAAAGGUAUUCCGGUAGACGAUGGGGAUGCGUUCCAUUAGAUAGUAGGCGGGGUAACGGCCCACCUAGUCUUCGAUGGAUAGGGGUUCUGAGAGGAAGGUCCCCCACAUUGGAACUGAGACACGGUCCAAACUCCUACGGGAGGCAGCAGUGAGGAAUAUUGGUCAAUGGGCGAGAGCCUGAACCAGCCAAGUAGCGUGAAGGAUGACUGCCCUAUGGGUUGUAAACUUCUUUUAUAAAGGAAUAAAGUCGGGUAUGGAUACCCGUUUGCAUGUACUUUAUGAAUAAGGAUCGGCUAACUCCGUGCCAGCAGCCGCGGUAAUACGGAGGAUCCGAGCGUUAUCCGGAUUUAUUGGGUUUAAAGGGAGCGUAGAUGGAUGUUUAAGUCAGUUGUGAAAGUUUGCGGCUCAACCGUAAAAUUGCAGUUGAUACUGGAUAUCUUGAGUGCAGUUGAGGCAGGCGGAAUUCGUGGUGUAGCGGUGAAAUGCUUAGAUAUCACGAAGAACUCCGAUUGCGAAGGCAGCCUGCUAAGCUGCAACUGACAUUGAGGCUCGAAAGUGUGGGUAUCAAACAGGAUUAGAUACCCUGGUAGUCCACACGGUAAACGAUGAAUACUCGCUGUUUGCGAUAUACUGCAAGCGGCCAAGCGAAAGCGUUAAGUAUUCCACCUGGGGAGUACGCCGGCAACGGUGAAACUCAAAGGAAUUGACGGGGGCCCGCACAAGCGGAGGAACAUGUGGUUUAAUUCGAUGAUACGCGAGGAACCUUACCCGGGCUUAAAUUGCAGAUGAAUUACGGUGAAAGCCGUAAGCCGCAAGGCAUCUGUGAAGGUGCUGCAUGGUUGUCGUCAGCUCGUGCCGUGAGGUGUCGGCUUAAGUGCCAUAACGAGCGCAACCCUUGUUGUCAGUUACUAACAGGUUCCGCUGAGGACUCUGACAAGACUGCCAUCGUAAGAUGUGAGGAAGGUGGGGAUGACGUCAAAUCAGCACGGCCCUUACGUCCGGGGCUACACACGUGUUACAAUGGGGGGUACAGAGGGCCGCUACCACGCGAGUGGAUGCCAAUCCCCAAAACCUCUCUCAGUUCGGACUGGAGUCUGCAACCCGACUCCACGAAGCUGGAUUCGCUAGUAAUCGCGCAUCAGCCACGGCGCGGUGAAUGCGUUCCCGGGCCUUGUACACACCGCCCGUCAAGCCAUGGGAGCCGGGGGUACCUGAAGUGCGUAACCGCGAGGAGCGCCCUAGGGUAAAACUGGUGACUGGG
Molecule: ribosomal RNA, 1432 nt
Filed under: uncultured organism
Description: 16S ribosomal RNA
Rfam family: Bacterial small subunit ribosomal RNA
Source: RNAcentral